GUCCAGGUGGCGAAGUGGUAACGCUGGGGACUGCAAAUCCUCCACGCGCGGGUUCGAUUCCCGCCCUGGACU
Molecule: transfer RNA, 72 nt
Filed under: Candidatus Kaiserbacteria bacterium
Lineage: Bacteria; Candidatus Kaiseribacteriota
Description: tRNA-Cys
Rfam family: tRNA
About the family: Transfer RNA (tRNA) molecules are approximately 80 nucleotides in length. Their secondary structure includes four short double-helical elements and three loops (D, anti-codon, and T loops).
Source: RNAcentral